GUCCACGCCGUAAACGGUGGGCGCUAGGUGUGGGGACCAUUCCACGGUUUCCGUGCCGCAGCUAACGCAUUAAGCGCCCCGCCUGGGGAGUACGGCCGCAAGGCUAAAACUCAAAGGAAUUGACGGGGGCCCCGCACAAGCGGCGGAGUAUGUUGCUUAAUUCGAUGCAACGCGAAGAACCUUACCAAGGCUUGACAUAUACCGAAAACUCAUAGAGAUAUGGGGUCCUUUUGGGCGGUAUACAGGUGGUGCAUGGUUGUCGU
Molecule: ribosomal RNA, 263 nt
Filed under: uncultured bacterium
Lineage: Bacteria
Description: partial 16S ribosomal RNA
Rfam family: Bacterial small subunit ribosomal RNA
Source: RNAcentral